Molecule: long non-coding RNA, 104 nt
Organism: Neodiprion fabricii
Lineage: Eukaryota; Metazoa; Arthropoda; Insecta; Hymenoptera; Diprionidae
Exons: 3
Source: RefSeq, a predicted model, not a curated record
UCUGUACCUGGAACUAUAUUUUUCGAUUGUGAUAAAAAAUGAAAAUAUUUGAGGACCGAGCUGUAACCGGAACUGAAACUUUCUCUCAUUGUAUUUUCGCCUAU